This 73-nucleotide transfer RNA is filed under the name bacterium. Its description in RNAcentral is "tRNA-Thr". It matches the Rfam family "tRNA". From Rfam's summary of the family: Transfer RNA (tRNA) molecules are approximately 80 nucleotides in length. The record is from RNAcentral.
GCCGACGUAGCUCAGUUAGCAGAGCACGUCAUUGGUAAUGACGAGGUCCGCAGUGCAAAUCUGCGCGUCGGCU